RNAcentral lists this ribosomal RNA (388 nucleotides) under uncultured bacterium. RNAcentral describes it as "bacterial SSU rRNA". It matches the Rfam family "Bacterial small subunit ribosomal RNA", at positions 28 to 417 of the family's 1533-position model. The record is from RNAcentral.
GACGAACGCUGGCGGCGUGCUUAACACAUGCAAGUCGAGCGGUAAGGCCCUUUCGGGGGUACACGAGCGGCGAAUGGGUGAGUAACACGUGGGUGACCUGCCCUCAGCUCUGGGAUAAGCCUGGGAAACUGGGUCUAAUACUGGAUAUGACUCCACGGUGCAUGUCGUGGGGUGGAAAGCCUUGUGCGGCUGAGGAUGGGCCCGCGGCCUAUCAGCUUGUUGGUGGGGNGAUGGCCUACCAAGGCGACGACGGGUAGCCGGCCUGAGAGGGCGACCGGCCACACUGGGACUGAGACACGGCCCAGACUCCUACGGGAGGCAGCAGUGGGGAAUCUUGCGCAAUGGGCGAAAGCCUGACGCAGCGACGCCGCGUGAGGGAUGACGGCCU